UUAUAUUUCGAUUCCUCUCAAUUUUCUAAAAAAAAAAAUUCUUGAAUUAAAGCGUUCAUCGGUUCUAGGCUGGUGAAGGUAUCGAGGAUGAGGCUGUUGAAGGUUGCGACUUGCAACUUGAACCAAUGGGCGAUGGAUUUCGAUAACAACAUGAAGAACAUCAAGGAAUCGAUUGCUAGGGCGAAGGAGGAGGGGGCUAGGGUUAGAAUCGGGCCGGAACUUGAGAUCACUGGUUAUGGGUGUGAAGAUCAUUUCUUGGAGCAGGACACCGUCGCUCAUUCAUGGGAGUGUUUGCAAGAUCUACUGUCAGGUGAUUGGACUAAUGAUAUAUUAUGCAGUAUUGGUAUGCCCAUCAUUCAUGAAAGUGUGCGCUAUAACUGCCAGGUUUUCUGUUUAAAUAAAAAAAUUCUAAUGAUCCGGCCAAAGAUGUCCCUUGCAAAUGAUGGAAAUUACAGGGAACUUCGGUGGUUUUCGGCAUGGACACUUAAAGAAAAGCUUGUGGACUUCCAACUUCCUACUGAUGUUUCUGAAACUGUAUCCCAGAUUUCAGUACCUUUUGGUUAUGCAUACAUUCAGUUUCUAGAUACAUCUGUUGCCGCUGAAACGUGUGAAGAGCUCUUCACUGCUGACGCUCCUCGAAUUGAACUUGCAUUGAAUGGCGUAGAAGUCUUUAUGAAUGCAAGUGGAAGUCAUCACCAACUCAGAAAACUGAACUUGAGAAUUGAUGCUAUGAAGAGUGCAACCCUUUUCUGUGGAGGUGUUUACAUGUAUGGUAACCAUCAAGGUUGUGAUGGUGGCCGCCUCUAUUAUGAUGGAUGUUCCUGCAUUGCUAUUAAUGGAGACGUGGUUGCUCAAGGAUCACAGUUUUCCUUGAAGGAUGUUGAGGUUUUAGUUGCACAAGUUGACCUUGAUGCUGUUUCUAGCUAUCGGGGAUCUAUUAGUAGUUUCAGAGAACAAGCAAGCCACAAAUCCAAGGUUUCCUCAGUGAAAGUGUUGUAUAAGCUUUGCCAAUCAUUUAAACUCCAACAUUUUCCUACUAAUCCAGUGGAGGUUAAGUACCACUGUCCUGAGGAAGAAAUUGCUUUUGGACCUAGUUGUUGGCUAUGGGAUUAUUUAAGAAGAAGUGGCGCCUCUGGUUUCCUGCUUCCACUUUCUGGAGGGGCUGAUAGUUCAGCUGUUGCAGCCAUUGUAGGCUCCAUGUGCCAGCUUGUUAUAAAAGAUAUAAAAAAUGGAGAUCAACAAGUCAAAGCUGAUGCACUACGCAUUGGCAAAUACACCAACGGGGAGUUUCCUACUGAUAGUAAAGAAUUUGCCAAACGUAUAUUCUAUACAGUCUAUAUGGGAACUGAAAACAGUUCUGAAGAGACAAGAUCACGAGCUAAGAAGCUAUCAGAUGAGAUUGGUUCAUGGCAUCUGGAUGUGAAUAUAGAUAGUAUUAUUUCUGCAUUGAUCUCUUUGUUUCAGACACUUACAGGGAAGAGGCCACGAUACAAGGUUGAUGGAGGAUCAAACGUGGAAAAUCUAGGGUUGCAAAAUAUUCAAGCUCGUGUAAGAAUGGUUUGGGCUUUUAUGCUUGCAUCUCUAAUGCCAUGGGUCCACAAUAAACCUGGUUUUUAUCUCGUGUUGGGUAGUUCAAAUGUUGAUGAAGGUUUGCGUGGUUACUUGACAAAGUAUGAUUGCAGUUCAGCAGAUAUCAAUCCAAUUGGCAGUAUAAGCAAGCAGGAUCUCCGUGCUUUUCUACGUUGGGCUGCAAUUCAUCUAGGAUAUUCUUCUUUGGCAGAAGUUGAAGCAGCACCUCCAACCGCGGAACUAGAACCGAUACGUUCCAAUUAUAACCAGUUGGAUGAAGUGGACAUGGGGAUGACAUAUGAGGAGUUGUCAGUCUAUGGAAGGCUGAGGAAGAUUUUCCGCUGUGGACCUGUAUCAAUGUUUCAGAAUCUCUGCCAUAAGUGGUGCGGGAGAUUAACACCAUCUGAGGUUGCAGAGAAAGUGAAGCACUUCUUCAAGUAUUAUUCAAUCAAUCGACAUAAAAUGACUGUACUGACACCUUCAUAUCAUGCUGAGAGUUAUUCGCCAGAAGAUAAUAGAUUCGAUCUUCGCCAAUUUCUGUAUAACUCAAGGUGGCCUUAUCAGUUCCGCAAGAUUGAUGAGCUUGUUCAAGAUAUCGAUGGUGAUAAAACUGCUACAAUUCCAAAUGUAAAGGUUUCGGAAGUCACUUCUGGGGGAAGUGGUUUGGGCGUUGUGGCUGCAGGAUCUGGCAAUCCGGAGGUUGGCCGUUGAGAGACAAAAGUGGAGAAGGCAAUCAAUACAUAAAAUAUCAGGACUGCCAUUCAGCAUGUGGGCCGAGAUAUGGGCCUGAAGAAUACCCAUUCCGACGUGCUGUUUCCAAGUUGACUUUAUUCGCAUGCCACGUUGAGGAGGUUGAAGUGGGGCCCUUCCACAGUUCUAAACUCGUUUAGUACCAGCCAAGUAAAUCUCACCUUUUGCAGACGGGUUAUAUAGGUUAUCGUUAUUUGUAGGAACAUUCUCAUACUCGCCAGCACCAUCCGCUCCUCCAAACGCGGCAAUACUUGCAACCAGAAAGCAGCCAAGAAAGCAGAGGAACUUAAUUGAAAACUCCAUUUUUUUAUUAUUAUUAAUCUUCAUUGUAUAAUAUAGUCUCUAGUUUGCUCCGUAGUACAUGGUGGUUGAGAAAUUGGUAAAGGGUUGCCAUAUUAUUUCCAUUUAGGUUAAGUGGAGGCAUCACUACAUUGUGUCCUAUAGGAGUAAGCCACGAAGGAUGGAAGCUGAUCUAGCAAUAGUAUGUGACCCAACCCAAUUAAAAUGAUGUGUUGGAUCUAAAUGUUUCGAGUUUCAUGUAAUGGUAUAUGAUUGAGCAUUAAAGCGGAAAGUGUGAACUUAUAGUCUUAUAUAAUGGGUUGAAAGGAAUACAAGGAACUUAUAGUUUCAUGA
Asparagus officinalis (garden asparagus) is the source of this 2952-nucleotide RNA transcript. It is a transcript of the gene named glutamine-dependent NAD(+) synthetase, with no coding region annotated. The record is from RefSeq and is a predicted model, not a curated record. Lineage: Eukaryota; Viridiplantae; Streptophyta; Magnoliopsida; Asparagales; Asparagaceae. The transcript has 15 exons.